AUUGAACGCUGGCGGCAUGCCUUACACAUGCAAGUCGAACGGCAGCACGGGAGCAAUCCUGGUGGCGAGUGGCGAACGGGUGAGUAAUAUAUCGGAACGUGCCCAGUCGUGGGGGAUAACGCAGCGAAAGCUGUGCUAAUACCGCAUACGAUCUCUGGAUGAAAGCGGGGGACCGUAAGGCCUCGCGCGAUUGGAGCGGCCGAUAUCAGAUUAGCUAGUUGGUGGGGUAAAGGCCCACCAAGGCGACGAUCUGUAGCUGGUCUGAGAGGACGACCAGCCACACUGGAACUGAGACACGGUCCAGACUCCUACGGGAGGCGGCAGUGGGGAAUUUUGGACAAUGGGCGCAAGCCUGAUCCAGCAAUGCCGCGUGCAGGAUGAAGGCCUUCGGGUUGUAAACUGCUUUUGUACGGAACGAAACGGCGAGCUCUAAUAAUGUUUGCUAAUGACGGUACCGUAAGAAUAAGCACCGGCUAACUACGUGCCAGCCGCCGCCGUAA
This 500-nucleotide ribosomal RNA is filed under the name uncultured bacterium. RNAcentral's name for it is "partial 16S ribosomal RNA". It matches the Rfam family "Bacterial small subunit ribosomal RNA", at positions 30 to 523 of the family's 1533-position model. The record is from RNAcentral.